ACCACCUACCACUCUCAAACUCGAAAAAUGGCAACAGCAGAAACCUUAUCACAAGGUUCUACUUCUAGUCUCAUUUUCAAACCAACUACCAAGCUCCUCCACCCCUCAACACUCUCACACGCUUCAAAGCUCUCAUUCCCUCUCCAAUCCUUCUACCCCCGUCGCCUCUCUCUUCCUUACAAAAUCCCCACAAAUAAUCAUCAUUUGUCAUGGCAAGGUGAAGGCCUCUCUCAGUUUCACCGUUUAUCAAUUAUUAUCUAACAUGUCCUCAAUUAAUAUUCUUAUCUUCUCAAGCUGGAUGGUGAAGUGCCCGAGGAGUUUAAUGAGGUUUUCUUUGAUGAUAAUCAUGACAUGAUGGACGGGGAAGAGGAAAUGAGUGAUGAGGAUGAGACAGAGAGCAGUAAUGAUUUGCUUAUCAAGUUCUUGCAAAGCAUGUUCAAGAAGCUAUCUAAGAAAGCCAAGAAAGCUUCUCGCUCUAUGUUACCUGCUGCUGUAAUAUGACCCCAAUUGGUGUCUUUUGCCGUCGAUGGGAUCCUGCUACUGGAUGCACUUUCUAUUGUUAAUGCACUUCUUGAGGUAUCCCUUUACCGUUGCCAAUCUUGAGUGGCUUUAGAUGCCUUCAGUGUUAAAAAUGCACCAGGACCCGGAACAUGCAUGAUAUGUGCAGGAGGGGUGCAAGAAUAUACAUAGGAGUCAUCUUAAGAUUACCACUCCCCCUUGUAUCCUUUUUUUCUUUUUUCUUUUUUGAGAAGGUGUUCUUCAAUCUGUUUGGGAAUGAAGAGAUCUCCUAUUUAACUACACUUUCUGUUAGGAACAAUAUAGAAGAUAAUAUAAGCACAAUCAAAUAUC
Populus euphratica (Euphrates poplar) is the source of this 849-nucleotide long non-coding RNA. RefSeq lists it as uncharacterized. NCBI's taxonomy places the organism in Eukaryota, Viridiplantae, Streptophyta, Magnoliopsida, Malpighiales, Salicaceae. The record is from RefSeq and is a predicted model, not a curated record. The transcript is spliced from 2 exons.